AACGAACGCUGGCGGCAGGCCUAACACAUGCAAGUCGAACGCGUGUAGCAAUACACGAGUGGCGCACGGGUGAGUAACACGUGGGAAUCAACCCAGAGGUUCGGAAUAACCGCGGGAAACUGCGGCUGAUACCGGAUAUCCCCUACGGGGGAAAGAUUUAUCGCCUUUGGACGAGCCCGCGUCCGAUUAGCUAGUUGGUGAGGUAAUGGCUCACCAAGGCGACGAUCGGUAGCUGGUCUGAGAGGAUGAUCAGCCACACUGGAACUGAGAUACGGUCCAGACUCCUACGGGAGGCAGUAGUGGGGAAUAUUGGGCAAUGGAGGCAACUCUGACCCAGCCAUGCCGCGUGGGUGACGAAGGUCUUCGGAUUGUAAAGCCCUUUCGGCGGGGACGAUGAUGACGGUACCCGCAGAAGAAGCCCCGGCUAACUUCGUGCCAGCAGCCGCGGUAAUACGAAGGGGGCUAGCGUUGUUCGGAAUUACUGGGCGUAAAGGGCGUGUAGGCGGCCCGUUAAGUCG
RNAcentral lists this ribosomal RNA (518 nucleotides) under uncultured bacterium. RNAcentral's name for it is "bacterial SSU rRNA". It matches the Rfam family "Bacterial small subunit ribosomal RNA", at positions 28 to 590 of the family's 1533-position model. The record is from RNAcentral.